GACAUCUGUAACUUUAAUUUAAUACAAAUUGAUCAUAACUCAUAAAAUGGGCAACAUUUUAAAUAAAAAUACUGCUGGGGUGGCCCAGAUUCUGGUAGUUGAAGGGUUGGGGUAGGGCUGACAAUUCCUUUUGCCCAAGGGAGGCCCGGGUGGCGGGGGCAGCCAUUUUAAGAACCCCCUGUGUUUAGCUCUUCCGGCUACUUUGGGAUGGUGUGUUGUGUCAGAGACCCCAAGUGCAGAAUCUAGGCCCCAGGACUAGAAAGAAAAGUCAAGGCCGGGGAGACAUUUAGGCUCAGUCUUGCAGCCCACUCCUCCAGUUCCCACCUCUGGGCAGGGAUAGAGCCAAGGGGCAGGACAACCCUAGAUGUGGACUCCACCCUCUCCCGAGUUCUUCACGAUUGGAUGCUGUGGCAGAAAAACGCAGGUGGGGCUUGCUCCACCCACCCUAACUUCCUUCUAGGGAAAUGACAUUUCCCAGACUCCCUUGCAGCCAAGGUUCUGGAUCUGACUUAAGUUCCCCCAAACAGAAUCUCUUGUAAAAAUUUAGAUUUGGGAACUGAGUGAAGUGGGAGAGGGGCAGGCCUCAGGACAUCUAUUGGCUGGCACGGACCGUGGCAGAGGGAGCCUAGUUCUGCAGUCAGCAGCUUUCUGGCAUAGUGGCUUCCUGCAGAUGGGGGCAGCUUUCCUGGUCACAACAGACAUGAUGAAUCUGGCGCUGGGAGUUCCUGGAAAUUCAGCAGAGUCUGCUUCUCCAGCUCUUCCAACAAUUUUGCAACAGGAUCCUAACUGAGAUAGAUGCCAAGUCUGACAAGGGGUCCAGCCAACAGCCCCUCCCAGUGCUUGGGUCCUAAUUACAAC
Molecule: long non-coding RNA, 858 nt
Filed under: Homo sapiens (human)
Lineage: Eukaryota; Metazoa; Chordata; Mammalia; Primates; Hominidae
Description: HSALNT0004530
Source: RNAcentral